Molecule: long non-coding RNA, 225 nt
Filed under: Mytilus galloprovincialis (Mediterranean mussel)
Lineage: Eukaryota; Metazoa; Mollusca; Bivalvia; Mytilida; Mytilidae
Source: RNAcentral
CUUUUGACCCCAAUUUCACGGUCCACUGAACAUAGAAAAUGAAAGUGCAUGUUUCAGGUUAAAGUUUUUGGUCAAGGUAGUUUUUGAUGAAGUUGAAGUCCAAUCAACUUGAAACUUAGUACACAUGUUCCCUAUGAUAUUAUCUUUCUAAUUUUAAUGCCUAAUUAUAUUUUUUAUCCAAUUUCGCGGUUCAUUGAACAUGGAAAAUGAUAGUGCGAGUGGGGC